AGCAACUUACAGUUCUACAACAAGAACAAUUGGAAGUACCGUAGCAGUGUCAUGUAAUCCUGGUUAUCAGCUGCUUGGUCUGUCAACAGUUAACUGCAUGGCUGGGAGAAAUUGGACUCAGUUACCAACAUGUGAAGCUAUUGUCUGCUCCUCUCUACCGACAAUAACAAAUGGCAUGGCGGCACCCAUAAGCACUGCUCGCUAUGGAGUGGCGACAGUUCAAUGUAUAGCUGGGUACAAUCUUAGUGGUAGUCUGACAACAACUUGCUUACCAAACGGCUCGUGGGCACUCCCUAUUGGCACAUGCAACGCUAUUACAUGCCCAGUGCCUACAAUACCUAAUGCAGUGGCGACACCGGUUGUUGCUAGUGUGCCUCAACAGUAUACAAUAUCCUGCUCCAGUGGAUUUACACUCGUCGGGUCAAACACUGUCACAUGUCCAACUGCAAAUGGCUUUACAACAUUUCCCAUUU
Molecule: long non-coding RNA, 473 nt
Organism: Sycon ciliatum
Lineage: Eukaryota; Metazoa; Porifera; Calcarea; Leucosolenida; Sycettidae
Exons: 3
Source: RefSeq, a predicted model, not a curated record